GACGAACGCUGGCGGCGUGCCUAAUACAUGCAAGUAGAACGCACAGUUUAUACCGUAGCUUGCUACACCAUACACUGUGAGUUGCGAACGGGUGAGUAACGCGUAGGUAACCUGCCUGGUAGCGGGGGAUAACUAUUGGAAACGAUAGCUAAUACCGCAUAAUAUUAAUUAUUGCAUGAUAAUUGAUUGAAAGAUGCAAUUGCAUCACUACCAGAUGGACCUGCGUUGUAUUAGCUAGUAGGUGAGGUAACGGCUCACCUAGGCGACGAUACAUAGCCGACCUGAGAGGGUGAUCGGCCACACUGGGACGGAGACACGGCCCAGACGACUACGGGAGGCAGCAGUAGGGAAUCUUCGGCAAUGGACGAAAGUCUGACCGAGCAACGCCGCGUGAGUGAAGAAGGUUGUCGGAUCGUAAAGCUCUGUUGUAAGAGAAGAACGGGUGUGAGAGUGGAAAGUUCACACUGUGACGGUAUCUUACCAGAAAGGGACGGCUAACUACGUG
Molecule: ribosomal RNA, 505 nt
Filed under: uncultured bacterium
Lineage: Bacteria
Description: partial 16S ribosomal RNA
Rfam family: Bacterial small subunit ribosomal RNA
Source: RNAcentral